This is a non-coding RNA of Lentinula boryana, 73 nucleotides long. The record is from the annotation of a GenBank genome assembly. NCBI's taxonomy places the organism in Eukaryota, Fungi, Basidiomycota, Agaricomycetes, Agaricales, Omphalotaceae.
GGUCCAGUGGUGAAGUGGUUAUCACCCUUGAGACAAAUUCAAGUGGUCCUAGGUUCAAAUCCUAGCUGGGCCA